AGCUGGUCUGAGAGGAUGGCCAGCCACAUUGGGACUGAGAGACGGCCCAGACUCCUACGGGAGGCAGCAGUGGGGAAUCUUGCGCAAUGGCCGAAAGGCUGACGCAGCGACGCCGCGUGUGGGAGGACGCCCUUCGGGGUGUAAACCACUGUUGCCCGGGACGAAACUCCUUUUUCGAGAGGACUGACGGUACCGGGUGAGGAAGCACCGGCUAACUCCGUGCCAGCAGCCGCGGUAAUACGGAGGGUGCGAGCGUUGUCCGGAAUCACUGGGCGUAAAGGGCGCGUAGGUGGCAAGGCAAGCGUGCGGUGAAAGCCCGGGGCUCAACUCCGGGUCGGCCGUGCGAACUGCCGUGCUCGAGCAUGGUAGAGGCAGGUGGAAUUCCGGGUGUAGCGGUGGAAUGCGUAGAGAUCCGGAAGAACACCGGUGGCGAAGGCGGCCUGCUGGGCCAUGGCUGACACUGAGGCGCGACAGCGUGGGGAGCAAACAGGAUUAGAUACCCUGGUAGUCCACGCCGUAAACGAUGGGCACUAGGUGCUUGGGGGAGCGACCCCCUGGGUGCCGGCGCUAACGCAUGAAGUGCCCCGCCUGGGGAGUACGGCCGCAAGGCUGAAACUCAAAGGAAUUGACGGGGGCCCGCACAAGCGGUGGAGCAUGUGGU
RNAcentral lists this ribosomal RNA (661 nucleotides) under uncultured bacterium. RNAcentral's name for it is "bacterial SSU rRNA". It matches the Rfam family "Bacterial small subunit ribosomal RNA", at positions 285 to 945 of the family's 1533-position model. The record is from RNAcentral.